RNAcentral lists this transfer RNA (68 nucleotides) under Batracomorphus cornutus. RNAcentral's name for it is "tRNA-Tyr". Lineage: Eukaryota; Metazoa; Arthropoda; Insecta; Hemiptera; Cicadellidae. The record is from RNAcentral.
AUUAAGAUGUCUGAUAUAAAGGUGGUAAAUUGUAAAUUUACUUAAGAAUUAAUAUAAUUCUCUUAAUA